AUGUCCCGGGCCGAAUUUGGUCGGCCCAAAAGUGCACAGGGACAGGGGGGCUGCUCACCAGGCCUUAUGGGCCGGUCGGUGGAGAAGGGAAGCCGACAAGGCGCUGGGCCUUGGCGAGGCAAGGAGGCCCACGCGCGGAUCUGGCCCAAUCGGGCGACGUGCGCGGUCAACGGGGAUCGAGCGGGUCCAGGCGCGGGCAAAACUCGUCGUCGCGGUCACCGUCCUCGCGUGCGGGCGCAGCGACCUGAAGAAGGCGGCGCCGAUGGCAGGGAACGGCCAGGAACAGGGGUCUCCGGCCCGGAUCUGGUUCGUGGCGGAUUGGGGAGGCAGACGAACUCCAGGACGGGUGCGCGGUGGCUGGGUAAGUCCAUGGAGGCGCGACGGGGCUGA
Molecule: ribosomal RNA, 390 nt
Filed under: Triticum aestivum (bread wheat)
Lineage: Eukaryota; Viridiplantae; Streptophyta; Magnoliopsida; Poales; Poaceae
Description: partial small subunit ribosomal RNA
Source: RNAcentral